AAUAAAUAUACGCUUAAUCCUUAACAGGAGCGGGGGACCCGAGUAAGUGCGCAUGCACUGGGGGUGAAUCCUUGUAGUUUUGAGGUAGGACAGCUCUUCGUCCGAAUCCGACAGCUAACCUCGCUUGCGCUGGAGAGACUCAAC
Molecule: small RNA, 144 nt
Filed under: Metabacillus indicus
Lineage: Bacteria; Bacillati; Bacillota; Bacilli; Caryophanales; Bacillaceae
Description: Bacillus cibi c-di-AMP sequence
Rfam family: c-di-AMP riboswitch aptamer (ydaO/yuaA leader)
About the family: This family represents a conserved RNA structure found upstream of the ydaO and yuaA genes in Bacillus subtilis and related genes in other bacteria.
Source: Rfam by way of RNAcentral